AAAGGGAGACCUAAUUCAGGUAAAAGACGAAAAAAAAGUAGUCGCUACCAAGAAUCAAUCCCAAAAGGUCGGAGCGAGGCGAAAUUGGCUUUCAAACUAGGUUCUGGGUUCACACAAGACCUGAAUCAGGAACAAGGGCUAUUAGCUCAGGUGGUUAGAGCGCACCCCUGAUAAGGGUGAGGUCCCUGAUUCGAGUCCAGGAUGGCCCACCUGCACAGGUGGCAAAAACAAGAGAAGCUCCGAAUCAGCACCUUAUCUUACUUAUAUAGUAAGAGAGAAUGCUGGCUCUGAGUAAAGAGUCCAGAGGAACCUUGAAAACUGCAUAGAGCUAGGUGAAAAAGCCAAAAAAGAAGACCGCAAG
Molecule: transfer RNA, 361 nt
Filed under: uncultured Microcystis sp.
Lineage: Bacteria; Bacillati; Cyanobacteriota; Cyanophyceae; Chroococcales; Microcystaceae
Description: partial 16S-23S ribosomal RNA intergenic spacer
Rfam family: tRNA (bases 136-209)
Source: RNAcentral